Long non-coding RNA from Cyprinus carpio carpio, 7368 nucleotides. Lineage: Eukaryota; Metazoa; Chordata; Actinopteri; Cypriniformes; Cyprinidae. The record is from Ensembl.
GGAAAAACUGUAAUGUACAAAUUUUUUUCGCACUGUUUUCUCUUGGCUAAUGAAGAAUGUAUUUGUUUGAGUUUGAUAUCCUCCCUGUGCAUCUCCACCAGCUUCCACUCGCUCCCUCACCUGUGUAGCGUAUGAGCAGUUCAUUCAUUCAUUGGUUCUGAAUUAAUGAAUCAUGUCUCGUUGAAUCUAAAACAAUGCACAUUCCUUGGCUAAAACCCAAAGCUUUUAGCCCCUGAACUCAUGCAGGUAAAUCAAACUCUCUGCAAGCUGAAUGACCGGCCUGGUGCCAGCAUGGCUGGGUUUAAAUUCCUGAUCCAGGUCAUAAAACUUUAUGACCCAACUGGGAGAAACAGAAAAAGCCCAGCUCGCUAGGAAUUCUUGUAAGGAAAAAGGAGAGUAAAUGUAUUCUAAAUGUAUUGACUGUAUUUCCUUUUUGUGCUUAGAUGUCUUCCCAUAUCAAAUUAGAGUAUCUGUAGUUUUAUCGUGUGUAAAUCAAACUUUAAAUGUGUGUAAUUCUGCAGAUGAAUGUAACUUUAUGUUUCUCUUACCUUUACCUGUCAUUCUUGGUACCUGUUUAACCAUCUUGCUUUGACCGAACCACUCAUACAUAGGAAAUUACAGUAAAAUGUAUUAUUCUGGAAUUAUCAUCUUGCUGGAAUAUAACUGCUGAAUUCUGACAACACCAUAACUCACUCGAGUGGGUGUCUCCCCAGAGAAAAAGGAAGUUUUUCCCACUUCAGAUCGUGGACGUUCAUUGGUUGUUCACACGAACAGAGGCGUGAACCCAGUCGCUCCAUAAGAGACUGACACAGAGAGUUCUCGUUGCACUUCGUCUGAGAGAACGUCUGUCGCGAUGGCUCCUUAGGGAGCUCUCAUCUCCGUUUUUCUUUUCUUUUCUUUACUAAGUUUUAUUCUCAUAUUCGCCACCCCCAACAUGAGGGAGACGAACUCUGAAUCAUUUCUUUGGUAACUCCACGUUCGUUGAACCUUUGAAAGUUCACGCGAGUCUGCUCACCCCGGAAGACACGAGAGAACACGCCCAGCUCCAAAAGAUGACACACGCACGCUCGUUUUUAGCAGGCACAAAGAUACCCACAUAUUAAAAUGCCACCACGAAUCAGCCCUCUUAAGGAUGCCAUGCAUCAUGUUGUCACAAAGUCUGACAAAACGAAAUUAGAGGUGAAGUACAUUAAUGCGGUGAAAGGACAUGGACUAUUUGCAAAAGGUUCCUUUUGCAAAGGAGAUUUUAUUGUGGAGUACAGGGGUGAAUUGAUAAAUUAUGCAGAGCUGGAGAGAAGAAGAAAACUCUACCACCCAUCCUGUGCUGUUUUUAUGUUCGAGUUUAAGUGGAGAGGGAAAACAUGGUGCAUUGAUGCAUCUAGGGAAGAUGAAUCGUUUGGGCGGUUAGUUAACGAUGACCACCAACAUCCAAAUUGUAAGAUCAAGAAAAUUGAUGUGAAUGGAAAGGCACACCUGUGUUUAUUUGCGCUGAAAGACAUUAAAGAAGAAGAAGAAAUCACAUACGAUUAUGGGGGAGACGACUGCCCAUGGAGAACCCAACAGGUGACGCUGAUCCUUCUCUCCAGUCACAGACUCAGAUGGAUGAUGCUUCUGGUCAAACCAAGUCUCCUCAACAGGAGAACAGUAUUGCUGCUAAUAGCAGAGCAGCAGGUGACUCUGAUCCUUCUCUCCAGUCACAGACUCAGAUGGAUGAUGCUUCUGGUCAAACCAAGUUUCCUCAACAGAUUGCGACCCAGCGCCAAAAUUAGAUUUUUGUGCCAAGACUGAGAUGGACUAAAAGUAUCAUAGCAAGUUUGUCACAACAAAGAGACUUGAUGUCUUUUUUUUUUCUUUUUCUUUUUUUGUAUUCCUCAGAUCAUUCUCAUCAUCAAUAAUAAUUUAUGUAAUAUUAGUAUUCUUAUGUGAUAUUGACUGCAAAAUAUCAGAGAAUACAAUUUAAUUUUACUUUAACACCAGAAUUAUGUGAUCAGAUAUAUAUUUUUUUGUCAGAUCAACUGUCCAUAACUUUUGCAUUGAGAACUUUAUUAUAACAUAGUAAGAAGCAGCAAAUCAUCACAUGUAACUUGCAAACUUGAGGGGGAAAAAAAUUUCAAUAGAUUAACAGAGACACAGUACAUUGGCUAUUAUUUUCAAAAUCAAAUGAUCAGUUAAUUGCAGCAGUUCUACCGAUUUCUUUUUUUUUUAGAUGAAAGACACAAAUCUUGAAGAUUCUGGUGAGCUCUUUGAUUCUACACCAGAGAGUUCAGGGCCCGGUUCCCCAAAACGUUCUUAUCGCGAAGUAGUUCUUAACCUAUUCCUUAACCUCUCUCUUAACGUUAUGGCAUGAUUCCCGACACAAUCGUACGCAAAGUAUAUCUUCUGUAAGUCACACUUUUGUAAGGUUGGUCUGGACCAUUCGUAAGCUCUCUCUUAGCGUUGUUUGAGCUCAAGACGCUAGUUGCCGCCACUGUGCAGCAAUCUUUAGAAAUCAGCGCAGCGCAGUACAAGUCAAACUAUAGUAUGUUGACAAUGUUGUGGCUCAACAAUGAUUUUAUGUUAUGGACAUUUUAAGACUAAUAAUAAAAUAUGUUCGCAAUGGAUACAGGCCUAUUUAUGAAGUUGACUUUAUUUGGUAUCAGAACUAAUAUGGUGGUAAUUAGCCUAGGCUAUUUCGUAAUGUCAUUAAAGGGUUUAAAUUGGCAAUCACUUUUGAUAAUUAAAAUCUGGCAAACAAUUUGGCUCUAAAUGCCUAAGAUCUAUAAAUGGGUAAGCAUGGUGGUGUCCAGUAAGCCACCAACUAUGGCAGCGAUAAGCAAGACCUCGGUGUGGAGGUGCGUCCACACUGUCACCAACGCCCUUCUGCGCCAUUCCGGAGAUUACAUCCGGGGAAUUCUGAUUGUAAAGUACCUUACCAUUAAUAUAAAAGUGUAUUACAUAAUUUUUAGAAGUCGUUAAACCCAUGUCAAGAAGCGGCACAAGUGGCACAACGGGAUAAGGAGGGUGGAUGAUUAGCGAGGGAUACCCUGUUCGUCUACCCAUCACAACAUAUCGUGUGAAUAUAUAUUACUGACAAUUUGAUAAUUUAAUUAAUAGUCUAUAUUUUACGGAUAACUUAAACUAUGUUAAAAUAAAUGUUACUGUAAUAAUUUGAGGAAUGUUUCAUUUGCAUAGGACGUGUUGUCUUUCUUAACACCGUAAUGAACCUUCGUGUGAAGUGGAAAAUCGAUUCCUGAGCAAUCGACGCCAACUAAUUCAGCACCUUCACUUGGGACAGCGCCUUUGUAACGUCGAACGUAAGAGGCAGCGUGUAAAGAAGCUUCCUAAGGGACACUUCGGGGAACACACUUAGGAACAUAAACAACUUUGGUAAGAUAUAUCUUUCGAGUCUUCUUAGUGCGCUAAGAGUGAACGUUAUCGGGGAACCGGGCCCAGAUGAUUACGUUCCAGAUACCACUUCCGAAAGUGACAGUGAUGUUAGCCUUACACUAAACCAGACAAAACGUCAGCUUCUUGAUGAACUGGAUGUUGAUCAGUCUGGCUCAGUGAGUUGCCCUGACUGUGACACCACAAUGUCAUACAAAAUGCACAGACUUAUAUCUGAAGCAUCUGGAACAGGAGAAGAACCCAGUUCAAGUCAGAACACAACCGAUGGCGUAGUUGUUAGUGUAUACCAAAAAAGAGAUGGUGCUAGAGUGUACAACAAGAGACAUUACUGCUUGUACUGCAGUAAAGCAUAUGCUAAGAUGGCAAGGCAUCUAGAAAGUUCACAUGUAAAUAAGUCUGAUGUGGCUAGAGCUCUAAGCUUUCCAAAGAGUUCAAAGGAGAGAAAAAAACAGCUUGAUUAUAUUCGCAACAGAGGAAACUAUGCUCACAAUGCAGCUGUUAUGGAGUCAGGAAAGGGGGAACUAGUGCCAUUUAAACGACCACGUAAAAAAGUGCAGGGAGAAGAUUUCAGGCAUUGUGCAUACUGUCAAGGACUUUUUACAAGAAAGGUCCUGUGGAGACACAUGCAUACUUGUAGACUUCAACCACAAUCUGACCCUCCCAAACCAUGAAAAAACUGUGUUCAGUCCAUGUGUACCUACACUGGGCCUGUGCCUUCAAACAUGACUAGACAACUGUGGGGAGUAAUCACUGCCAUGAAUCCUGACCCAAUCACAGAUAUAAUAAAAAAUUUAAUUACUAAAAUCGGGCAGCACUUGUUAAACAAAGGUGGGCUAUCAGAUAAGAAUAAACAAUGUGUGCGGGAGAAGAUGCAAGAAUUGGGAAGAUUGAUUCACAAUGCCAGGAAAGUCACCUCCUUAAAAAAAACUGGAAGAUUGUGUAAAUCCAAAGAAGUACAAGGAGACUGUCAAAGCUGUCAAGUAUACAUGUGGGUAUGACAGUGAAACCCACAAAUUCUUGAUUUCAUCACUUGCAAACAAGCUUGGAAAUUCCCUGGUUAAAGCAAGCAAACUCUUGAAAGCACAGGGCUUAAUCUCUAACGACAAACAGCUUGUGAAGAAUGCCACUGAGUUUCAAGAAGUCCAUGCAAAUAAGUCAAGUCAAGUCAAGUCAUCUUUAUUUAUAUAGCGCUUUAAACAAAAAAGAUUGCGUCAAAGCAACUGAACAACAUUAAUUAGGAAAACAGUGUGUCAAUAAUACAAAAUGACAGUUAAAGGCAGUUCAUCAUUGAAUUCAGUGAUGUCAUCAUGCAGCUCAGUUCAGUUUAAAUGGUAUCUGUGCAAUAAUUUGCAAUCAAGUCAAUGAUAUCGCUGUAAAUGAAGUGUCCCAAACUAAGCAAGCCAGAGGCGACAGCGGCAAGGAACCAAAACUCCAUCAGUGAGAGAAUGGAGAAAAAACCUUGGGAGUGGAACGAGAUGAUCUCUGCUACAGCGCUGAGGAAUAUCAGGGAAGCAAAGUGGAAUGUGCCCACUCUCAUGCCCUUUACUGAAGACGUACAAAAACUGCAUACUUUUCUCAGUCAAGUGCAAGACGAGUGGUUCAACCUGCUCUCUGAAAGUCCGUCUACUAAAGCCUGGAUGGAGCUGGCCAAGGUGUGUCUAGCGCAGAUGAUUCUCUUUAACUGGCGGAGAGAAGGAGAGGUGGUGAGCAUGCCUUUGUCUGUGUUUUUAUCAAGAGACACUUCUGAUCCAUAUGAAGAUGUGGACCUGGCUCUCUCCGAAGUGGAGAAGAAACUCUGCAGACGCUUCAUAAGGGUUAUCACCAGGGGAAAGCGUGGUCGGCCAGUUCCAGUUCUUCUGACUCCAAAAAUGCUGUGUUCCUUAGAACUCCUUGUUAAGCAGAGAGAGAAUUGUGGGGUUUUAAAAGACAAUGCCUAUAUGUUUGCUAGACCAGAAGCCAUGACACAUUUCCGAGGGUCAGACUGCCUCCGUGGCUUUGCAGAGGCAUGUGGUGCAAAAAGGUCCCAAGGCACUGACAUCUACCAGGCUGCGAAAGCAUUUCAACAGUGCUGAACAUGACAGACACCGAGAUGGACCAGCUGGCAAACUUUCUUGGGCACAACAUAAGAAUCCAUCAUGAGUUCUAUCGACUCCCUGAGAAGACCCUGCAACUUGCCAAGAUCAGCAAAGUUUUAAUGGCUCUUGAGCAAGGAAGAUUAGCUGAGAUCCAUGGCAAGAACUUGGAUGAAAUUGGGAUAGAUCCUGAUGAAAAAAAAUAUUGACUGUGAUGAGAAAGAACAAGUUAUUGACUGUGAUGAGGAAGAACAAGUUAUUGACUGUGAUGAGGAAGAACAAGUUAUUGACUGUGAUGAGGAAGAUGGGAGCAUACAAGAGGGACACUGUUUAUCUACUGUUGACGCCGAGGUGGCACUUCCUUCUACCGAGAGGAAUAUGUCACCACCUCACAAAAGAGGCAAACAUCAUCAGAUGUGCAGAUGCCUUCAGGAGCCAGUGCUAUGAGACCGCCUCGCAAAGGUAAAACUACCCAGAAGAAAACUCCCUGGCAGCAGGCAGAGGUGCAGGUGGUGGAAAGGCACCUGGAGCCAUUCAUCGUAUCUGGCACUGUACCAACAAAGAGUGACUGUGAGAAAUGCUUGAAAGCUGAACCAGAAGCUCUGAGGAACCGCGAUUAGAAGACUGUAAAAUUUUACGUUUAUAAUCGCAUUACAGCUUACAAAAAGAAAUUGCAGUGCAGAUAAUACUGUGAAGAUGCAACCAUCUGGCAUGGCAGGUUUUGUUUAAAUAAGUUGAGCCACAGCAACACUUAAAGAAAUAGAAUAUCUUUAUUGUUAAACCAGUGCAUAAAGGCCACAAGCUGAAAAGCAUUGGUCUAACAAAAGUUGUUCUAAAGUUUUUGUUGAAAUCCAUGUCUGUGAAAGGAGGCAUGUGAGUUAUUUAUAUAUAUAUAUAUAUAUAAUUUAUUUAAUUUUUAUUUAAUUUUAGUUACAUUUAUUAUAACAGGACCUUUGAGGUUUUGUUUUGAGGUUUGACUUUGAGUAAUUAUGUGAAGUUUAACUCAUUAAAAGUUGAAUUCAGUCAUUUUAAUCUGAAUUACUGUCUUUAAGUUCAAUUAGUAGUAGGUUUAUUGUAUUUAAGUAUCCAGUGAAUGAGUAGCAGCUGAUGCGGGGUGGUUGGCUGGGGCUGAACGCUACUUUAAAAUACUUAAAGAAAGAAUAGUUUGAAGUGGAAAGGUUUAAAUGUUUGACUUGUGGGUCUGAUAUUGGUUGGAACAUAUACAGGCAAUUAUUCACUACUUAAAAGCAAUCCUUUGUAUUCACAUGCACAAAAUGCAUGUUUGAGUUGUCCUAACUGAAAAUAACUUGCAUCUUUAAAAUAUCUCAGUGCCAUUGUUUUGUCUCGAGAUGCAUACCAGUAAUGUUUUUUUUUUUCUAAGGCAUUUUGAUAGAAGCUGUUUAUAUACCCUAAUUUAAGUAAGGCCUAGUCCUGGCUUAAGCUAAUCUGUCUGUGAAACUGGGCUUUUGUGCGAGAGUGAAGCUUUGCAUCACUAGCACCGUUUGCAGGCUUCACUACAUCUCCACAUUUCAAAAUUUUAACUUUCGUACUACUAAUAUACGUUUUAAUUUUACUUGGUUGUAGAUUAAACCCAUUUUAAGAGCAAAUGGUCAAAUGCAGUCUGAAGAUUUACUUCAUAUAAAUCCCUUUUAUUUAUUACUCAAAUCAUGGGAAUGUGUGUAAAUGUAAAUGUAAAAGCAUGGUCAAGUCAUUACUUCAUUACUUCAGGUGUCUGAAGUCGUGUAUAGGCUAAGAGAGCUAUGGUUAGUGUCCCUAAUUGUUUUCAGACCUCUAAACCCUUUAGAAAGGGUGGUACCCACAUGUGAUGAUUAAAAAGUUGGUCCCCAUCAAACAUGGAAACCAGUAUGUGUGUGUGUGUGUGUGUGUGUGCACUUGGAUGGGUUAAAUGCAG